RNAcentral lists this ribosomal RNA (623 nucleotides) under uncultured bacterium. RNAcentral's name for it is "bacterial SSU rRNA". It matches the Rfam family "Bacterial small subunit ribosomal RNA", at positions 8 to 639 of the family's 1533-position model. The record is from RNAcentral.
AGAGUUUGAUCCUGGCUCAGGAUGAACGCUAGCGGCAGGCCUAAUACAUGCAAGUCGAACGGUGAUAGCAAUAUCAUAGUGGCGCACGGGUGCGUAACACGUAUGCAACCUACCUAUUAUUGGGGGAUAGCCUUUGGAAACGGAGAUUAAUACCGCAUAAUACGAUUGACUGGCAUCGGUUGAUUGUUAAAGCUUAGGCGAUAAUAGAUGGGCAUGCGUCCAACUAGUUAGUUGGUUAGGUAAUGGCUGACCAAGACGAUGAUUGGUAGGGGAUCUGAGAGGAUAAUCCCCCACACUGGCACUGAGAUACGGGCCAGACUCCUACGGGAGGCAGCAGUAGGGAAUAUUGGGCAAUGGGCGGAAGCCUGACCCAGCCAUGCCGCGUGCAGGAAGAAGGCGUUAUGCGUUGUAAACUGCUUUUUUAUAGGAAGAAGGAUCCCUUGCGAGGGAAGGUGACGGUACUAUAAGAAUAAGCACCGGCUAACUCCGUGCCAGCAGCCGCGGUAAUACGGAGGGUGCAAGCGUUGUCCGGAUUUAUUGGGUUUAAAGGGUGCGUAGGCGGUUUAUUAAGUCAGUGGUGAAAGACGGUCGCUCAACGAUUGCAGUGCCAUUGAUACUGGUAG